UCAGUGUCAAGGUCUUAAACAUAUUACACGUAAUGCAAAAGUCAACAUAAUUUUUAUAUUUACUGCUUCCGAAGAAAACCUGAUCAUAUAAUAGAUACUGAUCAUAUAAUAGAUCGGUCGUUGUAAGCACUACCUCAUGGCGUGUGAGAUUGCGGAAGCUCGUUGUUGAAAUCCAACUUUGCUAGGAUUACAAAAACCAUUAGGUCACCAAUAAAUAUUAAAGGUAUAAA
This is a long non-coding RNA of Bombyx mori (domestic silkworm), 230 nucleotides long. RefSeq lists it as uncharacterized. NCBI's taxonomy places the organism in Eukaryota, Metazoa, Arthropoda, Insecta, Lepidoptera, Bombycidae. The record is from RefSeq and is a predicted model, not a curated record. The transcript has 2 exons.